RNAcentral lists this ribosomal RNA (301 nucleotides) under uncultured bacterium. RNAcentral describes it as "partial 16S ribosomal RNA". It matches the Rfam family "Bacterial small subunit ribosomal RNA", at positions 509 to 807 of the family's 1533-position model. The record is from RNAcentral.
CAGCCGCCACGGGAAUACGAAGGGUGCAAGCGUUAAUCGGAAUUACUGGGCGUAAAGCGUGCGUAGGCGGUUUGUUAAGUCUGCUGUGAAAUCCCCGGGCUCAACCUGGGAAUGGCAGUGGAUACUGGCAAGCUAGAGUGUGUCAGAGGAUGGUGGAAUUCCCGGUGUAGCGGUGAAAUGCGUAGAGAUCGGGAGGAACAUCAGUGGCGAAGGCGGCCAUCUGGGACAACAUUGACGCUGAGGCACGAAAGCGUGGGGAGCAAACAGGAUUAGAUACCCCAGUAGUCCCUGUCUCUUAUAC